GGGUCAGUAGGUUGGUCGUGCCACCGGUACGUACUGGUCUGUCUGAUUCCUCCUUCCUGAAGAACCGUAAUGCCAUUAAUUUGGUGUUGCGGGGAAACAGGACUGUUACUUUGAAAAAAUUAGAGUGUUUAAAGCAAGCUAACGCUUGAAUACAUUAGCAUGGAAUAAUGAAAUAGGACGAUCGAUCCUAUUUUGUUGGUUUCUAGGAUUGACGUA
This 216-nucleotide ribosomal RNA is filed under the name Glomeromycotina sp. Its description in RNAcentral is "partial small subunit ribosomal RNA". The stretch from base 40 to 216 matches the Rfam family "Eukaryotic small subunit ribosomal RNA", at positions 686 to 864 of the family's 1831-position model. The record is from RNAcentral. Lineage: Eukaryota; Fungi; Glomeromycota.